Molecule: non-coding RNA, 1772 nt
Organism: Anas platyrhynchos (mallard)
Lineage: Eukaryota; Metazoa; Chordata; Aves; Anseriformes; Anatidae
Source: RefSeq, a predicted model, not a curated record
ACAGGCCACUGAGUCCAACCUCUAGAUAGAAAGGCAGUAUGGCCACAAAGUCAAUGAUGUUCAAAGAGUUUUUGAUAAAUUCCACCUUGUUUGGGCAGAAAGUGACUCUCAUCAAGAACUCAAAUGUAAACCAGACCACACAGACACCUUCGAUGUAGGUGAGAAAGGCUUCAGUCUCUGCUUCCCUGUAGUGCCGCACCUGGGUGUCAUUCCCGAUGAAUUCAGUUUCUGUCUUGUUCACAAUGGGGUUAAAUCUCUCAUGGGUCUCGAGGCAGAAGGUGGUGAUGGAGACCAGAAUGAAGAAGAGGGAGGCAAAUGCCACAUACUGUAGAAAGAAAGAUACGAGAGAAUCGUUAAACAGUAGGUUAAGCACAGGGGCUUUGGUUCUUACAGAAGGGAGAGACAAGAGCCGUGUUAAAACUGAAGAUUACGCCAAGCCUUCUUCCUGUGGGCUUAAGAUGCCAAGUCUCACCUGCAAAGACAGCCUGACAUUCAAGCUGGGAUGGAGACCAGUAUGGCAGUCAGUCAGAGAAGAGAAGCAAGAAGAUUUGGAUAUACCUGUCAGCUGAUCCAAAAGGAGACAGAUCUACUGGAUUCUACCACACGAGGUUUUCUUCAAGAGAUUUUCAUUGCAUUGGAAAUUCAGGAAAUCCUACCCUUCCCUCAACCAUGAAAGGCAGAGGAAGAUGGCCUUUUGCUUGAAUCAUCAGAAAAUUUCCUAUAGAAGUGGCACCCUGUCUUUCUAAUGGUCUGUUCUGGUGAGUUAUGGUUUUGAUGAAAAAAUACUUAAUUUACUAGAUCAUAACCAUCCUGUUCCUCUUGAACCAAAAAAGCACAGGAGAUAAGAAGUUGUCGUCUUAGUCAGUAUGAGCAGAACCUCUGAACGUCAUUUGCUUCCUCCCCAGUGGGAGAGCCCAGGGCUUGGCAAGACUGAAAUGAGAGAUGAAAACAUUCUCCUCAUACAUCUUUGCCCUCCAAGGGAGAAGUGAUGGAGCCAUUAGUGCUGCAGUGCCUCUAGAAAUAUAAGGUCUGCCAGGGCUGCUCCUCCCAGAUAGAGGCAUCUUGCUGGGGACAUUGCUCUCUGCAAGGAGGUUUUACCAGGAGGAUGGACUUGUGGCCAGCCAGGGGGAUCACCUGCCUCGCUUCUGGUGCUCACAAUGUAGCAAUGGGCUUCCAGGUAUUUGCACAGUACAGUGACAUGGGGACCAUGGAUAGGAGAUGGCAUGUACUGCUUGAAUGCAGGUUGAUCUGUGCAGUGUAGCUGCAUGAGACACUCCGAUUCCUAGUCCAAACACCAACCAGAAGCCCUCUGCAGCACAAACUUUUGCCUCAGCUUUUAUUAGUGGUAAUUUGCCUUUACGGUGUUCUGCUUCACUUGUUCCCGAGUACAAGAUACACUUGCUAUAGCCUCCUACCUACAGAACCCUUCUCUGCCGUGUUUUUGUAUUUAUCAGUCCAGGGAAUGAAGGGGUUAUGGUGAUGUUAUCUGGCAUUUUAUCACCCCCUCUAUGUCAGUAUCUGUUUUACUAUCUCUCUGAAGAGAAGAGUUUUCAUACCUAUGUUUCUGUGGCUUAACUCUUACAUGUGCCAGAAGUAAACAUACGGAGCCAGGAAGGUAGCCAUUUUAUGCCAGUUUGCUCCUUUGGCAUUCUCUCUCCUGUUCAGGUGGUCAAGCACUUCAAUUCCCAGGUAGAUUUCCCUUUUCUCAUAGGAAAUAUCUCACUUUCUUUGUGGCGAGAUUUGACAGUUUUGUAAACAAGUGCAUAUAUGAU